UGAGUGAGACAUUAGAAGUUUGAAGUAGCUCCAGAUGAAUUGAAUAACAAGGUUCCAAUGCAUCAGGUUGUGUGAAUCUUUUCUUUUCCUUAUCUUUCUUUUUCUCUCUUUUUCCCUAUUUCUUUUUAGUUCUAGACAUCACACAAAGCUGGAUACUCCAACUGGUUAGAAGUAUAUUGGAUAUUAGAUGCAUCAUAAACCUUUUGUUUUGAAAAUGCAGCCUGAAACUGACAGGGAAGCAGGAGGAAACAAGGAAUCAUCAGUGAAGUUUAAGUCCAGCUAGUCCUUUAGCCAUUGUCUACUUAUAGAGACCUAGAAGCGUUAGCGUAAGAACAGAUACAAAGCAAUAAUUUAUUUAUUUGUACGGGGUUUUGACAAAUCUCUUGAUGUGGAUCAGAUGCAUUGAGGUCGGAAAGCCUCGAGCGUGUGCAACCCAGCUCUCUUACAAUCCAACACAGGCCUGGAUAGAAGGUGUGCAAUAUCCAAGCUUUCCAUCAGGUGGUUCCCCACUUCUUGAUGCCACGGUUCAAAAAUCAGGCAAGUCCACUCCAUAUGCUUAUUCAAAGUGGAAGUAACUAUAUAGAUUGUAGGCUCAGGGGUCCACAAUGCUUACAUGGAUGCAUGAUCAAAACUGCUCAUCAGUUUUAUCCUUGAAGAAAAAGGGAAGAAAAAUCUGUCCACAUUUAUAUAUAAAAAAAUCCAUAGCUAUUCUCCUCCAUCUGCUAGUUACAGGUAUUUAUUGGUUCCUUUUAUUUUAUAUCAAAUUUGUUUUUUGGUUAUUUUAUUUUGUUUUGUAAACUUUUGUCUUUGCAUUGGUAACUAAAGGUGGAGCAUUUGGGGUGGAGCAUUGGUAACAGACGGGAGCUUUGCUGCUUAAUAUGGGGAUGGAUAUGGACUUCAUUCGGUAUGGUUGUUUUUGCAGAAAAUAUUUAUAACUGAAAAUUUAAUUUUAGAUUGUGUAACUUAGAUUAUAAGUGUACAUACUGUUUUAUUACUUGACCUCUAUGCAUGGCAAGGUGGUGCUGACAAAGGUCUUCUAUAUGGCAUGAAUUCUGGUUCUUGGGGUGCAUUUGAGAAGUCUCGCCUUGGGUGUCGUUGAAGUCCAUUGAUUUUUAUUUUUUUUUUCCUUUUGCUUUUCCUUGUACCUCAAUUUGUAAAUUUUCUGUCCAUUAUAUAACCUUUCAUUCUCAGGCCCCUUGUAAAUGAGGCUGGUUGUAAAUGAUUUACAGGUUGUGUUUGAAUGCUAAUUUAAGCC
Magnolia sinica is the source of this 1255-nucleotide RNA transcript. RefSeq lists it as uncharacterized. Lineage: Eukaryota; Viridiplantae; Streptophyta; Magnoliopsida; Magnoliales; Magnoliaceae. The transcript has 4 exons. The record is from RefSeq and is a predicted model, not a curated record.